Rhincodon typus (whale shark) is the source of this 477-nucleotide long non-coding RNA. RefSeq lists it as uncharacterized. The transcript has 2 exons. NCBI's taxonomy places the organism in Eukaryota, Metazoa, Chordata, Chondrichthyes, Orectolobiformes, Rhincodontidae. The record is from RefSeq and is a predicted model, not a curated record.
GUCUCCACUUCCCCCUUGAAGAAGCCUCUUUCUGUUGCAGGAAGACCAUUGUAGAUUUCCGCCUGUCUCUCUAACACCACCCCCCACCGCCGGGCUGUCCCCUCCCAGAUGCCAUGCUUGGCAGAACUUCAAAGAUGCAGCCCAGAUUUUGGAAAGGGGAAGGUGUACAAACUCCACAUGAGGAAGUGCUACUUUUCAUUAUCUGGAUUGCACCAGGCCCAUUAAUAACUCAGAUACUGCAACCUGAGGCACUGAGACAGAGUCUGUUCAUCCAGCAUUGAAGCAGAAAUGGCCUGCUCCUAUUUUCCAUGUCUCUACACAGCUGAAGAGAUGACGACAAAAAAAACAGUCCCUAGGCCGAGACUCAAACAACAAUUGUAACGGCCACUCAAGUUACCAAAGUUAGCAUGUGUUCAACAGAAUUACUUGGAUCCAAAUGUCCAUCUCUUUAAUUAAAACUGUGACCUUAACCCUUAA